GCCUGAUGGUUACCGCGGCGGGCCGGGGACUCCCGGGAGGCAGCGGGCGACGCCGCACCGGGGCCUGCGGGAGGGGCCCUGCGGCGAGCCUGGGGCCGCGGGGCAUGUCGGUCCUUGGGGGGGUGGCGGGAAAGGCGGGAAGAGCGAAAGGGAGCGCGGCGCUGUGCCGGGCUGUACAGCGACACAGGACGAGAUGUUGGCUGGGCUUGGUGUCCCUCGGCCCCCCCUCAAAAAAAAGGCAUAUUGUGUCUGGGAAUUCAAGAAGGACAGGGAACUGCUGGAGAGAGUCCAGCGCAGAUCAACAAAGGUGAUGAGGGGAGUGGAGAACCUCCUGUAUGAGGAAAAGCUGAGGGAGCUCUUUAGCUUGGAGGAGACCGAAGGCCAAAUUCAGCAUGAGUGGCCAGGCUCGCUGGAAUUCCAGGCUGAGUCAAAUGAACUUCUCUUAACCUGGUUGCUUGGCUACGGGAGGCCUUGAAGACUGGUACAAGGAGAUAAAGAGGAAACUCAGCAGAGGCUGCAAACUGUCUAGAUAAGAACAGCAAAACAAGCUGCCUGGAAGAGGGAGAAAGAGAAUCCAGUAAGAAACAAGCCCCCAGAGCCGGAAUUGCCAUUGGACCAAAGGGCACGUGGACAAGGCAUGAAGGACACUUGAAGAGCGGGUUGCGCAGAUUGUGAGGGCUUAAAAGCCCAAGCCUCUUUUGUCUUGGGAUCCCUCUCCUUGAGAGGCACCCAGUCCGGACUGUUUCUUUGCUGUACCUUUCAAUUUUAUUUUUUUUUUAAUUUAUUUUUGGUGGUUUUUUAUUAGGUCUUUUAAUGAAAUUGAUUUUUUUUAAGCACAGAUAUUUGAGACUGUGCUACGGGAAACUUAUGGUUGAGAGCAUUUCUUUAACAGAGCCGAAAUGAGUAGGGGCAGCUUCAGUGAAGCAUUACAAAACAACAGCAACAGAUUAUUUUAUUUUCAUAGCUUAUUUUCCAGUUACUUACAUUUCAGUACUGUUCUGUCUGUGCUUUCUGUUUUUCUGUAAGCCGUAUGUGCUGCCUUUGCAAGUCAGUAGGUGCAACGGCUUGCAGAACUAACUGCCGUUGUGUGUACAGAUAUGACAGGAAGCCCUUAGGUUGUAUGGACACAUCAAAACAAUGGAAAUAAUCUGAUCUGUCCAGCAUUUAUUACAAACUUCAUUAUACAGUGACCGUGUUUCCUGUUGCAUUUUAUCAUUCUAGAUUUUAUUAGACUUUGUUUCUUCCGUAGAGUAUCGUCUCAUAGUAAUUGAGGUAGUUGGUUAAGUGGUUUGCAUGUGUGAGUCAUUAGGUUUUCAAACUACAUUUAAAGUUUCUGAAUUUUGUCCUCUAAGGUUUUUGUCAUCAUCAGACAUUGAUCUUCUCGUUGUAGCUAAAAUUAAAAGUCUUGCUACAGUGAAAGACUAUUUAUUAUUUUCUCUAACUGUUAAAUACACUUCCAUUAAAACGUUA
Molecule: long non-coding RNA, 1470 nt
Organism: Columba livia (rock pigeon)
Lineage: Eukaryota; Metazoa; Chordata; Aves; Columbiformes; Columbidae
Exons: 2
Source: RefSeq, a predicted model, not a curated record